Molecule: long non-coding RNA, 529 nt
Filed under: Polistes fuscatus (common paper wasp)
Lineage: Eukaryota; Metazoa; Arthropoda; Insecta; Hymenoptera; Vespidae
Description: uncharacterized LOC122519267
Source: RNAcentral
CGUAAGAUUCACCCUCGAUAAAAACACAAAAUACGAAAGGGACAAGCUCGUUCGUUCCCUCUGAUCUCACUUCCUUUUUUCUUUUUUUCUCGAAAAGACGCGUUACGUUAGGGGAUGAAAGACAAAGAAGGGAAGUUACAAGGGUUAGAAGGAGACAAAAAAAAAUAAAGAAAUAGAGAGAGAUAGAGAGAGUGAACGAACGUCGGUCGAUCAUCCAUCCGUCUCGUCGGUUUUAUAUAUAUAUAUAUAUAUAUCGUCGUUUCCACGCGCUUAACAAAUACGAUGCUAUUGAAAAGUUUCGUUUCGUUCGAGAGUAUCGUUAUGACAAGGACAACAAUAAUAACACGCAUGAUUACGAUUACGUCGAAAGUGUACGAGAAACGGAAACGAUGAAAAUCGUCGUAUAUUAAAAAAAGAAUCUUUAUUAAAGAUAAAUAAAUAAAUAAAUAAAUAAAUCAAUGGAAAAUAAUUCGAUAUAAAAGAUAUAAAUAAAUUUCAUUAGAAAAAUAUCAUUCACAUUGGAAGGUAG